Molecule: unclassified non-coding RNA, 240 nt
Filed under: soil metagenome
Description: partial contains 5.8S ribosomal RNA, internal transcribed spacer 2, and large subunit ribosomal RNA
Source: RNAcentral
AACCAUAGAAACCUGCGGAGUACCUGCGGAGGGAUCAUUACCGAGUGAGGGCCCUCCGGGUCCAACCUCCCACCCGUGUUUAACGAACCUUGUUGCUUCGGCGGGCCCGCCUCACGGCCGCCGGGGGGCACCCCGCCCCCGGGCCCGCGCCCGCCGAAGACACCUGUGAACGCUGUCUGAAGUUGCAGUCUGAGACACUAGCUCAAUCAGUUAAAACUUUUAACAAUGGAUCUCAGAUCG